GCGCGCGCAGGAACUUGGAUCUCAACCCCAGGGCUAGGUGCCUCCUCCCGCUGCUUUCCGCCAGCUGCGGGGUGUGAGAUUAAUCCCCGCCGAUUAGCGCCAGGUGUACUAAUCCCUGGAUGGUUCCCUGACCAGAUGAAACAUCAGCCGAUGUUCUAAUGCCCGUCCCCUGGGCACUGUCCCCGAGAGGGAAAACCUGUUUUCUGACCCCGGCUCUAGUCGGCCUCUGGAGAUCUGCAGCUGGGUUAUUUUACUUCUGAAACGGACGACACCUGCCCCGCGCACCCCAGCGGCUCCUCCACACGGAGAGAUGGUGUCAGUCAAAGGCCGUCUAGAUGACGAGUUUAUGAAAUUGUUCCUGGCCCGUGCCGGGCACGACCUUGCAGAGAGCCCAGAAGAUGAAACCCCAGCCCUGCCAGGAGCUCACCUGCUAAUUAGGAGGACAACGAAUCACCUCACCUCCCUAGACUUUGCUUCUCCUUUAUUCAGUGAGGGAUUGGACUAGCUGGUCCUUAAGGACUUUUCAGAAAGUCUGGUUCUGGGAGAUGACCAAUGGGAUCAUCUUAUGCUAUGAGCUUUCCUGGAAUGACAGGUAAUGGAGAGUGAGGAGAUUUUACCUGAUAUGGUCCUGUUUGCACCGUCAGCCAGCAACCUUUCUGGGAAGCAUGCUUAUUAUGUACCAACAUAGAAGCUUGAAUAUAAGGUUCCUCAGGCCAGAUCUGACCCACUGGCAUUUAUUACAUUUUCUGCUAAAGGAGCCACUCUCAACCUGGAAGAGAGGAGAUCUGUGGCAAUCAGAUCCAGAGAGAAUGUGGUCUUCGUACAGACUGAUAAACCCACCUACAAGCCUGGACAGAAAGUGAUGUUUUGAGUUGUGUCUCUGGACGAUCAUUUGAAACCAGUUGAUGAAAUGUAUCCAGUGAUCACCCUUCAGGAUCCAGAAGGCAGUCGAAUACAACAGUGGGUGAAUGAGGAGUCUGUGGGAGGGAUUCUACAACUCUCCUUCCAGUUAAUCUCAGAGCCCAUCCUCGGAUGGUAUGAAAUCACCAUGGAGAUGCUCAAUGAGAAGAAAACAUAUCACUCCUUCUCUGUGGAAGAAUAUGUGUUACCCAAAUUUCAAAUGACUGUGGAUGCACCAGAAAAUAUCUUAGUUGUGGACUCUGAAUUCAAAGUGAAUGUCUGUGCCUUAUAUACCUAUGGUGAACCUGUGGACGGGAAGGUCCAACUUAGUGUGUGCAGAGAAUCUACGGCUUAUCAUUCAUGUGCUCAUCUUAUCAGUUCACUCUGUAAAAAUUUUACCAUUCAGUUGGGGAAAGAUGGCUGUGUCUCCAAGUUCAUUAACACAGGUGCUUUUGAGUUAAAUCGGUGUGCAGCUUACAGGCUCCAAGUACAUAUACAUAGACUCAUCAGUGGUGAAGAUUAGUUUUGAGAAUAUGGAUAUGUCCUACAAACAGGGACUCCCUUAUUUUGGCCAGAUUAAAUUGCUUGAUCCAGACAACUCUCCAAUCCCAAAUGAAGUUGUCCAGUUGCAUCUGAAGGACAAAAUCGUGGGAAACUACACCACAGAUGUAAAUGGCAUCGCUCAGUUUUUCUUGGACACAUAUACGUUUACAUACCCAAAUAUCACUUUGAAAGCAGCCUACAAGGCCAAUGAAAAUUGCCAGGCUCAUGGCUGGGUGUUGCCUCAAUACCCUCAGCCCGAGUACUUUGCAUAUCGAUUUUACUCCAAGACGAAUAGCUUCCUAAAGAUUGUCCAAGAGAUGGAAGAACUGAGAUGCAACCAGCAGAAGAGGGUGCUAGUGCACUGCAUUCUCAAUAUGGAAGACUUUGAAGACAAAACCUACACAGCAGACUUCAAUUAUUUGGUGCUGUAUUAGCAAUUGUCACAAUAGAAGAAAUAGAAAAAGUAUAACUGGGGACAAAACAUAUAUUAGAAUUACGUGAUUUCAAAAGGUGUAAUCAUUCUUCAUGGGCAACAGAAAAUUGAGAUCAACGAAAAUGGGAGGAAGGGCAUAUUUUCCAUUUCUAUAGACAUUAACCCUGAAUUAGCGCCCUCAGUAGAUAUGCUUGUCUAUAGCUUGCAUCCUGGAGGAGAAAUGGUCACUGAUAGCACCCAAUUCCGAAUUGAGAAAUGCUUCGAAAAUCAGGUCAACUUAAAUUUUUCUAAAGAAAAAAGUUUACCAGGAUCCAAUAUUGAUCUUCAAGUCUCGGCUGCUUCAAACUCUCUUUGUGCUCUUUGGGCUGUAGACCAGAGUGUAUUGCUACUAAGGAAUUAUGGUCAGCUGUCAGCACAAACUGUGUAUAGUCAGCUAUAUUCCAGGGAACUACAUGGCUAUUACUUCAGAGGACUUAACUUAGAAGAUGGCCUUAAAGUGCCGUGUCUUGAAGAUGAACAUAUCCUUUACAAUGGAAUUUAUUACACACCUGCAUGGGCUGACUUUGGAAAAGAUGGCUAUGACCUUGUGAAGGCAACAGGAUUAAAGAUUUUUACCAACUCUCACCUCCGGAAACCAGUAUUGUGCAAGGAUUCUAACCAUCUUGACUCUACUGAUUACAUACCCUUAGGAUCCUCAAAACAAUCGGAUUUUUCAAAGGCAAAAUGUGACUUCUUUCCGAAAUAUUACCCAACUCUCGUUCCAACUGAUUUCAGAACCAAUGUUUGGAGAUUACUGGAUUGUUGUGAAAAGAAACUCAAGGGAGACAGUGACACACCAAUUUGCUGUUAAAAGAUAUGUGCUGCCCAAGUUUGAAGUUACAGUCAAUGCACCACAAACAGUAACUAUUUCAGAUGAUGAAUUCCAAGUGGAUGUAUGUGCUAAGUACAACUUUGGCCAACCUGUGCAAGGGGAAACCCAAAUCCGGGUGUGCAGAGAGUAUUUUUCUUCAAGCAAUUGUGAGAAAAAUGAAAAUGAAAUAUGUGAGCAAUUUAUUGCACAGUUGGAAAAUGGUUGUGUUUCUCAAAUUGUAAAUACAAAAGUCUUCCAACUCUACCGUUCGGGAUUGUUCAUGACAUUUCAUGUCGCUGUAAUUGUUACAGAAUCUGGGACAGCUUAAAUUUUCGGAUCCCAAUAAUGUACCUAUGGUGAACAAGUUGUUGCAACUGGAGCUCAAUGAUGAAUUUAUAGGAAAUUACACUACGGAUGAGAAUGGCGAAGCUCAAUUUUCCAUUGACACUUCAGACAUAUUUGAUCCAGAGUUCAACCUAAAAGCCACAUAUGUUCGACCUGAGAGCUGCUAUCUUCCCAGCUGGUUGACGCCUCAGUACUUGGAUGCUCACUUCUUAGUCUCACGCUUUUACUCCCGAACCAACAGCUUCCUGAAGAUUGUUCCAGAACCAAAGCAGCUUGAAUGUAAUCAACAGAAGGUUGUUACUGUGCAUUACUCCCUAAACAGUGAAGCAUAUGAGGAUGAUUCCAAUGUAAAGUUCUUCUAUUUGAUGAUGGUAAAAGGAGCUAUCUUACUCAGUGGACAAAAGGAAAUCAGAAACAAAGGUGUAUAACAUGGUUCCAAGUAUAGAGCCGUAUGGUUAUUUCUACCAUGGCCUCAAUCUUGAUGAUGGCAAGGAAGACCCUUGCAUUCCUCAGAGGGAUAUGUUCUACAAUGGUUUAUAUUACACACCUGUAAGCAACUAUGGGGAUGGAGAUAUCUAUAAUAUUGUCAGGAACAUGGGUCUAAAAGUCUUUACCAAUCUCCAUUACCGAAAACCAGAAGUAUGUGUGAUGGAGAGAAGGCUGCCACUCCCUAAGCCGCUUUAUCUGGAAACAGAAAAUUAUGGUCCAAUGCGUAGUGUUCCGUCUAGAAUUGCAUCUAGUGGAAUCAGAGGGGAGAAUGCUGACUAUGUAGAACAGGCUAUAAUUCAAACAGUAAGAACAAACUUCCCAGAGACAUGGAUGUGGGACCUCGUCAGUGUCGAUUCCUCAGGCUCUGCCAAUCUUUCGUUCCUCAUUCCUGAUACGAUAACCCAAUGGGAGGCAAGUGGCUUUUGUGUGAAUGGUGACGUUGGAUUUGGCAUUUCCUCUACAACCACUCUAGAAGUCUCCCAACCUUUCUUUAUUGAGAUUGCCUCACCCUUUUCGGUUGUUCAAAAUGAACAAUUUGAUUUGAUUGUCAAUGUCUUCAGCUACCGGAAUACAUGUGUAGAGAUUUCUGUUCAAGUGGAGGAGUCUCAGAAUUAUGAAGCAAAUAUUCAUACCUUGAAAAUCAAUGGCAGUGAGGUUAUUCAAGCUGGAGGGAGGAAAACAAACGUCUGGACUAUUAUACCUAAGAAAUUGGGUAAAGUGAAUAUCACUGUAGUUGCUGAGUCCAAACAAAGCAGUGCUUGCCCAAAUGAAGGAAUGGAGCAGCAAAAGCUAAACUGGAAAGACACUGUGGUCCAAAGCUUCUUAGUAGAGCCUGAAGGUAUUGAAAAGGAAAGGACCCAGAGUUUCCUUAUCUGUACAGAAGGUGCCAAAGCCUCCAAGCAGGGAGUUUUGGACUUGCCAAACGAUGUAGUAGAAGGGUCAGCCAGAGGCUUUUUCACUGUUGUGGGGGAUAUUCUAGGACUUGCCUUGCAGAAUCUGGUUGUUCUCCAAAUGCCCUAUGGAAGUGGAGAGCAGAAUGCUGCCCUACUAGCAUCUGAUACUUAUGUUCUGGACUAUCUGAAAUCUACUGAGCAACUGACAGAGGAAGUUCAAUCUAAGGCUUUCUUUCUCUUAUCUAAUGGUUAUCAAAGGCAAUUAUCUUUCAAAAACUCUGAUGGUUCCUAUAGUGUGUUUUGGCAGCAGAGUCAGAAAGGAAGCAUAUGACUCAGUGCUCUUACUUUUAAGACAUUGGAGAGAAUGAAAAAAUAUGUAUUCAUUGAUGAAAAUGUUCAAAAACAGACCUUAAUCUGGCUUUCAAGCCAACAGAAAACAAGCGGCUGCUUUAAGAAUGAUGGCCAGCUUUUCAACCACGCCUGGGAGGGUGGAGAUGAAGAGGACAUUUCACUCACUGCUUUCCUGCUCUACGAAACGCACUCUUUUGCCUUGAAGCGGCAUUGGACAGUGGUGUCACUAAUGGCUAUAAUCAUGCAAUUCUAGCUUAUGCUUUUGCCUUAGCUGGAAAAGAGAAGCAAGUGGAAUCUUUACUCCAAACCCUGGAUCAAUCUGCCCCAAAACUAAAUAAUGUCAUCUACUGGGAAAGAGAAAGGAAACCCAAGACAGAAGAAUUUCCAUCCUUUAUUCCCUGGGCACCUUCUGCUCAGACUGAGAAGAGUUGCUACGUGCUGUUGGCUGUCAUUUCCCGGAAAAUUCCUGACCUCACCUAUGCUAGUAAGAUUGUGCAGUGGCUUGCCCAACGGAUGAAUUCCCAUGGAGGCUUUUCUUCCAACCAGGCUCCGGUAGAUUGCAAACGACCUGCUUUCUUUGUGAUCCCGGCUGCAUUCGGACCCCUGUCAGACAGUAAAUCCCAAGCUCCCGUAGAUUGCAAAGGACAUGCUUUCUUUGUGAUCCCGGGCUGCAUUCGGACCCCUGUCGGAUAGUGAAUUCCAAAUAAUGUACCUACCGUCGGCAGAUCUGAGCUUUCUUCUUGGACACCUAAUACCCACAGUCCUCCAGUGAAGGAUCCAGUGAGAUUUUCCAGGUUAACGGUCAUAACCGCCUACUGGUCCAACGUUCAGAAGUAACACAGGCACCUGGAGAAUACACAGUAGAUGUGGAAGGACACGGUUGUACAUUUAUCCAGGCCACCCUUAAGUACAAUGUUCUCCUACCUAAGAAGGCAUCUGGAUUUUCUCUUUCCUUGGAAAUAGUAAAGAACUACUCUUCGACUGCUUUUGACCUCACAGUGACCCUCAAAUACACUGGAAUUCGCAAUAAAUCCAGUAUGGUGGUUAUAGAUGUAAAAAUGCUAUCAGGAUUUACUCCAACCAUGUCAUCCAUUGAAGAGCUUGAAAACAAGGGCCAAGUGAUGAAGACUGAAGUCAAGAAUGACCAUGUUCUUUUCUACUUGGAAAAUGGUUUUGGUCGAGCAGACAGUUUCCCUUUUUCUGUUGAGCAGAGCAACCUUGUGUUCAACAUUCAGCCAGCCCCAGCCAUGGUCUACGAUUAUUACGAAAAAGGUAGGCAAGCAACAGCCAUGCCCUAAGGUUAUUGAAUGUGUUAUUUAUAUAUAACAUUCCCUGAGCUACUAAACUUUCCAAAAUCAACCUCCGUCUUCACAGAGUAAACAAUAGAUGGCAUUACUUUGUAUACUGGUUUCUUUAUCCCAUGAUGUGUCUUCUGACUGAACCCAUUUUCCAGUUACCAGAGUUUUUCAACACCAGAAUCCUUGCAAUAUAACCUGACAGGGCUCCACUUGAACUUGAAAUACAAGCCACACUAAGCUUCCAGGUCUUUUUGUUAUUGUCAUUGUUGUUCAUGCUAAGACUGACUGUUCCAAGCUACUGCUGUGGACUUUGACUUAAAAAGAGGAGUGGGGAAUAUUCUGAAAUGCUAACUUAAAAAUUUGAUAGAUUAAUUUCUAAAACAUAUACAAAGAUGUUGUAGAGACCACACAACUGUUCCCUGGAAGGUUGGUACUAUUUAUUUCUUGUUGAAUGCUGUGUGAAGUUUGUGGAGUGUUUGAAUUCUGUCUCUAUCAAUCAUUUACUAAUAGAAUAUAUUUCAUCAAGUGUCUUAAAUAUUAUUAGCAUAUUUCUGGAUGUAUAAAAUGGGAAAGUAAUUGUCUCUAUUUCAAAAUUAUUGGAAGGAUUAGAUCUAAUGUGCUUAUAUCAUCUAUUUAAUAAAAAUACAUGUUCCCUUUAUUUUUUCAGAAGAAUAUGCCCUAGCUUUUUACAACAUCGACAGUAGUUCAGUUUCCCAGUGAGACAAAGCAAUUACUGGAAGAGGUGAAGAAAUUUUAUUACGUCAUAAACCAUUGAAAACACAUCUAGUAAGAAAAUGAAAACCUGAAUAAGAUAGGACAGUAGUUGAAGAAAGAAAAGUGUCUGGUACUUCAUUAGACUUGUGUAGCUGUGUACUGCAUGAGUAAUCUGAUAAUCAUUAAGAUUAUAUUAAUUUCUUUAAAAAUAGCUUUAAAGAAUUCACAGCUAUAUAUGUACCUUUUAUAAAUCUCUCAUUUUUGUUUUGUAAGUUGACAGGUCAGUAAAAAUUUAGGCAUAUAUAUUUGUACAUAUGUGUGUGUAUGUACAUGUCUAUGUGCCUAUAUAUGCAUGAUUUUAUAUCUAAAUAUCUAUUUAUAUAUACAUACAAACGUGUUUAUUGUUUAAACGAUGUUUUAAAUCCCAGGUGGAAAAGCAUUUCUUGUAACAAACCGAUUCUUCUGUAUCAAACCUGGAAAAAAAUCAUGAACCAUCUGACAUCGUGAACAGUUUGCAGUGGGCUAUGGUUUCUUGUCAAGUCUUAUUUCCUUAUCAUCCCAUUAAAUGUUGUCAUUUUGCA
This is an RNA transcript of Homo sapiens (human), 7397 nucleotides long. It is a transcript of the gene named ovostatin 1, pseudogene, with no coding region annotated. The record is from RefSeq and is marked validated. The transcript has 46 exons. NCBI's taxonomy places the organism in Eukaryota, Metazoa, Chordata, Mammalia, Primates, Hominidae.